UACGGAGGAUGCGAGCGUUAUCCGGAUUUAUUGGGUUUAAAGGGUGCGUAGGUGGUUAAUUAAGUCAGCGGUGAAAGUUUGUGGCUCAACCAUAAAAUUGCCGUUGAAACUGGUUGACUUGAGUAUAUUUGAGGUAGGCGGAAUGCGUGGUGUAGCGGUGAAAUGCAUAGAUAUCACGCAGAACUCCGAUUGCGAAGGCAGCUUACUAAACUAUAACUGACACUGAAGCACGAAAGCGUG
Molecule: ribosomal RNA, 240 nt
Filed under: uncultured bacterium
Lineage: Bacteria
Description: partial 16S ribosomal RNA
Rfam family: Bacterial small subunit ribosomal RNA
Source: RNAcentral